RNAcentral lists this ribosomal RNA (548 nucleotides) under uncultured archaeon. RNAcentral describes it as "bacterial SSU rRNA". It matches the Rfam family "Bacterial small subunit ribosomal RNA", at positions 377 to 948 of the family's 1533-position model. The record is from RNAcentral.
GAGAAUCUGAUGCUUGAUGCCGCGUGAGUGAAGAAGGCCUUUGGGUUGUAAGCUCUUUUGUAGGGGAAGAUAUGACUGUACCCUAAGAAUAAGGUCCGGCUAACUUCGUGCCAGCAGCCGCGGUAAUACGAAGGGACCUAGCGUAGUUCGGAAUUACUGGGCGUAAAGCGCGCGUAGGCCGUUGAGUUAGUUAAUUGUGAAAUCCCAAAGCUUAACUUUGGAACUGCAAUUAAAACUGCUCGACUAGAGUUUGAUAGAGGAAAGCGGAAUACAUAGUGUAGAGGUGAAAUUCGUAGAUAUUAUGUAGAACACCAGUUGCGAAGGCGGCUUUCUGGAUCAACACUGACGCUGAGGCGCGAAAGUAUGGGUAGCAAAGAGGAUUAGAUACCCUCGUAGUCCAUACCAUAAACGAUGAUAGCUAGAUGUUGGAAAUUUAUUUCCAGUAUCGCAGCUAACGCAUAAGCAAUCCGCCUGAGGAGUACGACCGCAAGGUUAAAACUCAAAUGAAUUGACGGGGACCCGUACAAGCGGUGGAGCCAUGUGGUUAA